Molecule: long non-coding RNA, 561 nt
Organism: Daucus carota subsp. sativus
Lineage: Eukaryota; Viridiplantae; Streptophyta; Magnoliopsida; Apiales; Apiaceae
Exons: 2
Source: RefSeq, a predicted model, not a curated record
UUGUAUAUUUCUGUUUAAUAAUUAAAAAAAAUAUAUAGACAUAUACAUGUGUAUACGCUACUGUCAAUACGGGGUAUAAACUACUCGCAACAGUAUACAGCGCUAAUUGAGGAGGUAGUUUUUUCGUGGAGCCCGUGUUUAGGGAAUCGUCUCCCUGAAAUACCUUCCUUUUAUGUUGCUCGCAGCGGUUUGCUCUCCUCUUUUCCGAAUUGUCCCCCUAGAUAUUAUUGUCUCUCUGAGUUCGCAUCUUGUUGUUCUAGAGAUGACUAUUCGAGAAGAAAAAUCAGGUGAUGAAGUUGUUCCGCACGUUGAGAGUUUUGAAUCUGAGGAUUCGUCUCUUGUUGCUGAUGUAAUUGUCCAAAAUCCAGACAUAAGCCGGAACAAGGGUUGUGGUAGUCGAAUCAAAAGCAGUUGAGAACUAUCUCAAGAAGAUGGGAAAAAAAAAGAAAGUGCAGCAACUGUGGCCAUCUUGUACGCCACAAUGCUAGGACAUGCCCUGAACCCAAAAAAACGGAUGCAUUGUAAACUUCAUUUUGAAGUAAAUUACUUAUAUUGGAGUUA